Zea mays is the source of this 785-nucleotide long non-coding RNA. RefSeq lists it as uncharacterized. NCBI's taxonomy places the organism in Eukaryota, Viridiplantae, Streptophyta, Magnoliopsida, Poales, Poaceae. The record is from RefSeq and is a predicted model, not a curated record. The transcript is spliced from 3 exons.
CUACCUGUCCAGUGCAGUGCCACGAGGCUACUGUCCAAACGGUGAGUUUUUUUUUUAGAGCUUUGAAUAUCUAGACUUAGACCGUGUUUUCCCCGCGUUCAUCUGGUCAGGUUCAGCUUCGCAAUCGUCUUUUGGUUCGGUGGCUGUCGGAUCUGAGCUAAUGCAGCACUACUGAGCCGUCUCUGACUCUUGAGGAGCAUGGAGUCGGUGACUGACGCACUAUGGCCAUGGCCUACUCUAGCACGGGUCGCCCAAUCCGACCACGCCAAUUCUGCACGAACUCCCAGCGAAUUCACCAGCGAUAUGUCAGGUGACAAUUGACGGUCUCGGUUCAGCAUUUCAGCAGCAAAAACUAGCUCACCUGAGCAGCAAAGGUUCAAAUUCUAAAUGCUAAUAGCAUCUCCAACAACAACAGCUCCUGAAAAUAUAUCUCCCAACAAACAAUUAUUGGAACAUCCUUAAACAUCUUUGCUCCUUAAGAAAAAAGAUUAUACUCUGACAGACCCCUUUAAUUUCCUAAAAAAAUUGUACUCCAACGCCGACCUGCUCUGCAUCAUCCGCACCAUUGUCGCCAACCGCUGCAGGUUGCCGUGCUUCUCCCUCAACUCCCCCGUGUCGUGAGCAGACUCAGCGGAGGAGGUUCUUUUCGCGUGCGGAAGGAUUCAUAGAAGUGAUAGGAAUCCGUUGGAUGAGAGUUUUCUCAUUUUUUCCAAAAAUUAAGGAUUAGAAUUGGUAUUAUUGGAGAUGCUCUAAGAGACAGAUCCAAGCACAGGGUGAGACCAGUC